GAUGAACGCUGGCGGCGUGCCUAAUACAUGCAAGUCGAGCGAACAGAUAAGGAGCUUGCUCCUUUGACGUUAGCGGCGGACGGGUGAGUAACACGUGGGUAACCUACCUAUAAGACUGGGAUAACUUCGGGAAACCGGAGCUAAUACCGGAUAACAUUUGGAACCGCAUGGUUCUAAAGUGAAAGAUGGUUUUGCUAUCACUUAUAGAUGGACCCGCGCCGUAUUAGCUAGUUGGUAAGGUAACGGCUUACCAAGGCGACGAUACGUAGCCGACCUGAGAGGGUGAUCGGCCACACUGGAACUGAGAUACGGUCCAGACUCCUACGGGAGGCAGCAGUAGGGAAUCUUCCGCAAUGGGCGAAAGCCUGACGGAGCAACGCCGCGUGAGUGAUGAAGGGUUUCGGCUCGUAAAACUCUGUUAUUAGGGAAGAACAAACGUGUAAGUAACUGUGCACGUCUUGACGGUACCUAAUCAGAAAGCCACGGCUAACUACGUG
This 497-nucleotide ribosomal RNA is filed under the name uncultured bacterium. RNAcentral describes it as "partial 16S ribosomal RNA". It matches the Rfam family "Bacterial small subunit ribosomal RNA", at positions 28 to 507 of the family's 1533-position model. The record is from RNAcentral.